Molecule: small nuclear RNA, 103 nt
Organism: Saimiri boliviensis boliviensis (Bolivian squirrel monkey)
Lineage: Eukaryota; Metazoa; Chordata; Mammalia; Primates; Cebidae
Source: RefSeq, a predicted model, not a curated record
GAUCACUUCAGCAGCACAUAUACUAAAAUUGGAACAAUACAGAGAUUAGCAUGCCUCCUGCGCACGGAUGAUACACAAAUUCGCUGAAGCAUUCUAUUUUUAC